UCGGCUCAUCGCAUCCUGGAGCUGUAGAAGGUUCCAAGGGUUGGGCUGUUCGCCCAUUAAAGCGGUACGUGAGCUGGGUUCAGAACGUCGCGAGACAGUUCGGUCCCUAUCUGAUGUGGGUGUAGGAGAUUUGAGAGGGCCUGUCCUUAGUACGAGAGGACCGGGAUGGACGAACCCCUUGUGUUCCAGUUGUCACGCCAGUGGCACCGCUGGGUAGCGAAGUUCGGUCGGGAUAAACGCUGAAGGCAUAUAAGCGUGAAGCCUGCCUCAAGACGAGAUCUCCCAAUUCCGUAGGAAUUCAGAAGGCCACAGGUAGACCACCUGUUUGAUAGGCUGGGUGUGUAAGUCCAGUAAUGGAUUCAGCUUACCAGUACUAAUCGGCCGUUCGGUUUUCCA
Molecule: ribosomal RNA, 396 nt
Filed under: Acidobacteriota bacterium
Lineage: Bacteria; Pseudomonadati; Acidobacteriota
Description: Acidobacteria bacterium partial 23S ribosomal RNA
Rfam family: Bacterial large subunit ribosomal RNA
Source: RNAcentral